RNAcentral lists this ribosomal RNA (468 nucleotides) under uncultured bacterium. RNAcentral's name for it is "partial 16S ribosomal RNA". It matches the Rfam family "Bacterial small subunit ribosomal RNA", at positions 28 to 507 of the family's 1533-position model. The record is from RNAcentral.
GACGAACGCUGGCGGCGUGCUUAACACAUACAAGUCGAACGGAAAGGCCCUGCUUUUGCGGGGUGCUCGAGUGGCGAACGGGUGAGUAACACGUGAGUAACCUGCCCUUGACUUUGGGAUAACUUCAGGAAACUGGGGCUAAUACCGGAUAGGAGCUCCUGCAGCAUGGUGGGGGUUGGAAAGUGUCGGCGGUGGGGGAUGGACUCGCGGCUUAUCAGCUGGUUGGUGGGGUAGGGGCUUACCAAGUCUUCGACGGGUAGCCGGCCUGGGAGGGUGGACGGCCACCAUGCGCCUGCGAUACGGCGCAGUCUCGUACGGGAGGCAGCGGUGGAGAGUAUUGCACAGUGGGCGGGCGCCUGAUGCAACAGCGCCGCGUGCGGAAUGCCGGCCUUCGGGUUGUAAACCGCUUUCGCCUGUGACGAGGCGUGAGUGACGGUAAUGGGUAAAGAAGCACCGGCUAACUACGUG